This 496-nucleotide ribosomal RNA is filed under the name uncultured bacterium. RNAcentral describes it as "partial 16S ribosomal RNA". It matches the Rfam family "Bacterial small subunit ribosomal RNA", at positions 29 to 507 of the family's 1533-position model. The record is from RNAcentral.
AUGAACGCUGGCGGCGUGCCUCAUACAUGCAAGUAGAACGCUGAAGCUUGGUGCUUGCACCGAGCGGAUGAGUUGCGAACGGGUGAGUAACGCGUAGGUAACCUGCCUCUUAGCGGGGGAUAACUAUUGGAAACGAUAGCUAAUACCGCAUAAAAGUCGAUAUCGCAUGAUAUUGAUUUGAAAGGUGCAAAUGCAUCACUAAGAGAUGGACCUGCGUUGUAUUAGCUAGUUGGUGAGGUAACGGCUCACCAAGGCGACGAUACAUAGCCGACCUGAGAGGGUGAUCGGCCACACUGGGACUGAGACACGGCCCAGACUCCUACGGGAGGCAGCAGUAGGGAAUCUUCGGCAAUGGGGGCAACCCUGACCGAGCAACGCCGCGGGAGUGAAGAAGGUUUUCGGAUCGUAAAGCUCUGUUGUAAGAGAAGAACGAGUGUGAGAGUGGAAAGUUCACACUGUGACGGUAACUUACCAGAAAGGGACGGCUAACUACGUG